Molecule: small nuclear RNA, 107 nt
Organism: Ailuropoda melanoleuca (giant panda)
Lineage: Eukaryota; Metazoa; Chordata; Mammalia; Carnivora; Ursidae
Source: Ensembl
GGGCUCACUUGGGCAACACAUAUAUUAAAAUAGUAACGAUACAGAGAAGAUUAGUAUGGCCCCUGUGCAGAGACACACAAAACAUGGUUCCUGAAUUCAAAUUGCUU